RNAcentral lists this long non-coding RNA (794 nucleotides) under Brachypodium distachyon (stiff brome). RNAcentral describes it as "long non-coding RNA (BDIS_LNC004590)". Lineage: Eukaryota; Viridiplantae; Streptophyta; Magnoliopsida; Poales; Poaceae. The record is from RNAcentral.
GAUGCCGUUGGGGAGGGUAUGGGUUUACCCGGUGUUUGCCUUCCCAGUACCCAUUGAACGCAAUCCCCAAAUCUACCCUUCCCAUAAUUUAUCCAUUAUCCGUUUUACCCAUACCCAGAAAGAUAGAACACAAAUUGGAUCCAACAUUUGUGAUCUCGAUCACAGAACAUAUCACCAAGAAAUAAUCAGAAACAAUCGAAUCAACUUUGAUAAGGUGCAGAUCGAAGAAGAAGAAGAAGAAGAAGAAGAAGAAGAAAGAAAGAAAAAAUGAAUUCCCAAAACUGGAUCGAGAGGCAUCAUUCAGGCCGCCGAACUUCCUCCAUGGCCGGCCAUCACGGCCUGCGGCGGGGGCGGCAUGAGGGACGUCAACGGUGAGGGAGGACCGUCCCCCCCCCCCCCCCCCACCCUCCCCCCUUUGCUGCUCCUCCUCCCUGCGCUUCGCCAUGGACACAUCCCUCUCUGAACAUGCCGCUACGGCACCCACCUGACGAAGAACGAGGCCUGAGCUCUGUGCGGGGAUAGAAGGGGGAAGGGCAAGUCACAGGGAAGUGGGCGGCCGGCGGCACACAAGGGUGGAGGAGCACGGCGGCCGGCGGCGCACAGGGACGGAGCAAAACUCGCCCAGGCGGUGGUUGGAUUGUUGGAUUUGGAGAAGGGGAACGACGUGCGGUCUCUCGAGCAGUCUUGAUGGGUAUUACCCACACCAAAACAUUGCCCAUACCCGACCCAAACGUUUGGGUAUGGAUAAGGGAACGGGUAUUGGAUACCCACCGGCAUCCUGAUGUUGGUCCAAG